RNAcentral lists this ribosomal RNA (403 nucleotides) under Fusobacteriota bacterium. Its description in RNAcentral is "Fusobacteria bacterium partial 16S ribosomal RNA". It matches the Rfam family "Bacterial small subunit ribosomal RNA", at positions 355 to 776 of the family's 1533-position model. The record is from RNAcentral. Lineage: Bacteria; Fusobacteriati; Fusobacteriota.
UGGGGAAUAUUGCACAAUGGAGGGAACUCUGCUGCAGCGACGCCGCGUGAACGAAGAAGGCUUUCGAGUCGUAAAGUUCUUUUAUAUGGGAAGAUAAUGACGGUACCAUAAGAAAAAGCCCCGGCUAACUGCGUGCCAGCAGCCGCGGUAAUACGUAGGGGGCUAGCGUUGUCCGGAAUCACUGGGCGUAAAGGGUUCGCAGGCGGAAAUGCAAGUCAGGUGUAAAAGGCAGUAGCUUAACUACUGUAAGCAUUUGAAACUGCAUAUCUUGAGAAGAGUAGAGGUAAGUGGAAUUUUUAGUGUAGCGGUGAAAUGCGUAGAUAUUAAAAAGAAUACCGGUGGCGAAGGCGACUUACUGGGCUCAUUCUGACGCUGAGGAACGAAAGCGUGGGUAGCAAACAGG